CCUACGGGUCGCAGCAGUGGGGAAUAUUGCACAAUGGGGGAAACCCUGAUGCAGCAACGCCGCGUGAAGGAAGACGGUUUUCGGAUUGUAAACUUCUGUUCUUAGUGAAGAAUAAUGACGGUAGCUAAGGAGCAAGCAACGGCUAACUACGUGCCAGCAGCCGCGGUAAUACGUAGGUGGCAAGCGUUGUCCGGAAUUACUGGGUGGAAAGGGCGCGGAGGCGGGAAGCCAAGUCAGCUGUGAAAACUACGGGCUUAACUUGUAGACUGCAGUUGAAACUGGUUUUAGUGAGUGAAGUAGAGGUUGGCGGAAUUCCGAGUGUAGCGGUGAAAUGCGUAGAUAUUCGGAGGAACACCGGUGCGAAGGCGGCCAACUGGGCUUUAACUGACGCUGAGGCUCGAAAGUGUGGGGAGCAAACAGGAUUAGAUACCCGAGUAGUC
This 440-nucleotide ribosomal RNA is filed under the name uncultured bacterium. RNAcentral describes it as "partial 16S ribosomal RNA". It matches the Rfam family "Bacterial small subunit ribosomal RNA", at positions 338 to 795 of the family's 1533-position model. The record is from RNAcentral.